AGUUAGCUUAUUUUGAUGGGUAAAUAAAUGUAUAAAUUGUUCAUCCGGAUGUAGUAAUGUGUAAAAUGUACUUACUAUAAAAAGAUAAGUAUUCUUAACCUGGAGGUAGCUUAUUUCAACAGGCAAAAUAUACAUAUACAUACAUUUAUGCUCCAAACAUAAAACACAGAAAAUGUACUACUCACGAGGCUAUAAAUACACUAAAUACAAUUACUA
Thalassophryne amazonica is the source of this 216-nucleotide long non-coding RNA. RefSeq lists it as uncharacterized. The record is from RefSeq and is a predicted model, not a curated record. The transcript has 2 exons. NCBI's taxonomy places the organism in Eukaryota, Metazoa, Chordata, Actinopteri, Batrachoidiformes, Batrachoididae.